GACGAACGCUGGCGGCGUGCUUAACACAUGCAAGUCGAACGGAAAGGCCCUGCUUUUGUGGGGUGCUCGAGUGGCGAACGGGUGAGUAACACGUGAGUAACCUGCCCUUGACUUUGGGAUAACUUCAGGAAACUGGGGCUAAUACCGGAUAGGAGCUCCUGCUGCAUGGUGGGGGUUGGAAAGUUUCGGCGGUUGGGGAUGGACUCGCGGCUUAUCAGCUUGUUGGUGGGGUAGUGGCUUACCAAGGCUUUGACGGGUAGCCGGCCUGAGAGGGUGACCGGCCCACAUUGGAACGAGGUUACGGCCAGACUCCUUACGGGGGGAAGCGUGGGGAAUAUUGCACAAUGGGCGGAAGCCUGAUGCAGCAACGCCGCGUGCGGGAUGACGGCCUUCGGGUUGUAAACCGCUUUCGCCUGUGACGAAGCGUGAGUGACGGUAAUGGGUAAAGAAGCACCGGCUAACUACGUG
Molecule: ribosomal RNA, 468 nt
Filed under: uncultured bacterium
Lineage: Bacteria
Description: partial 16S ribosomal RNA
Rfam family: Bacterial small subunit ribosomal RNA
Source: RNAcentral